CCUACGGGUGGCAGCAGUGGGGGAUAUUGGACAAUGGGGGGAACCCUGAUCCAGCGACGCCGCGUGAGUGAAGAAGUAUCUCGGUAUGUAAAGCUCUGUCAGUAGGGUACAAAGAACUGACGGUACCUGACCAAGAAGCCUCGGCUAACUACGUGCCAACAGCCGCGGGAAUACGUAGGGGGCAAGCGUUAUCCGGAAUUAAUGGGUGUAAAGGUAGCGUAGACGGUUAAGUAAGUCUGGCGUGAAAGGCCGGGGCCCAACCCCGGGACUGCUCUGGAAACUAUUGAGCUUGAGUGCAGGAGAGGUAAGCGGAAUGCCUGGUGUAGCGGUGAAAUGCGUAGAUAUUAGGAAGAACACCGGUGGCGAAGGCGGCUUACUGGACUGUAACUGACGUUGAGGCUCGAAAGCGUGGGGAGCAAACAGGAUUAGAUACCCCUGUAGUC
Molecule: ribosomal RNA, 443 nt
Filed under: uncultured bacterium
Lineage: Bacteria
Description: partial 16S ribosomal RNA
Rfam family: Bacterial small subunit ribosomal RNA
Source: RNAcentral